RNAcentral lists this transfer RNA (66 nucleotides) under Lepus americanus (snowshoe hare). Its description in RNAcentral is "tRNA-Pro". RNAcentral also lists the same sequence under 1 other name. The record is from RNAcentral. Lineage: Eukaryota; Metazoa; Chordata; Mammalia; Lagomorpha; Leporidae.
CAGAGAGUAGUUUAAAGAGAAUUUCAGCUUUGGGUGCUGAUGGUGGGGUGUAGGCCUCUUCUCUGA